CCUGUCCUUGCCUACAGAUCUGAGUUUUCUGAAACCAUCCUGUCGGUGCAUCCCUCGGAUGUCUUGGACAUGCCAGUGGAUCCCAAUGAACCUACCUACUGCUUGUGUCACCAGGUGUCAUAUGGAGAAAUGAUUGGCUGUGACAACCCAGAUUGCCCAAUUGAAUGGUUCCACUUUGCUUGUGUGGACCUCACAACCAAACCAAAGGGGAAAUGGUUUUGUCCACGUUGUGUUCAGGAGAGAAAGAAAAAGAAGUAAGGAGUAUAGGG
Tinamus guttatus (white-throated tinamou) is the source of this 269-nucleotide non-coding RNA. The record is from RefSeq and is a predicted model, not a curated record. NCBI's taxonomy places the organism in Eukaryota, Metazoa, Chordata, Aves, Tinamiformes, Tinamidae.